This 57-nucleotide ribosomal RNA is filed under the name Stereum hirsutum. RNAcentral's name for it is "partial 28S ribosomal RNA". It matches the Rfam family "Eukaryotic large subunit ribosomal RNA", at positions 1 to 57 of the family's 3401-position model. The record is from RNAcentral. Lineage: Eukaryota; Fungi; Basidiomycota; Agaricomycetes; Russulales; Stereaceae.
UGACCUCAAAUCAGCUGGGACUACCCGCUGAACUUAAGCAUAUCACUAAGCGGAGGA